Nicotiana attenuata is the source of this 206-nucleotide ribosomal RNA. It matches the Rfam family "Eukaryotic small subunit ribosomal RNA", at positions 106 to 310 of the family's 1831-position model. The record is from Rfam. Lineage: Eukaryota; Viridiplantae; Streptophyta; Magnoliopsida; Solanales; Solanaceae.
UCAGUUAUAGUUUGUUUGAUGGUAUCUACUACUCGGAUAACCGUAGUAAUUCUACAGCUAAUACGUGCAACAAACCCUGACUUCUGGAAGGGAUGCAUUUAUUAGAUAAAAGGUCGACGCGGGCUCUGCUCGUUGCUGCAAUGAUUCAUGAUAACUCGACGGAUCGCACGGCCAUCGUGCCGGCGACGCAUCAUUCAAAUUUCUGC